Molecule: long non-coding RNA, 975 nt
Filed under: Marmota monax (woodchuck)
Lineage: Eukaryota; Metazoa; Chordata; Mammalia; Rodentia; Sciuridae
Source: RNAcentral
ACAAGCUGCGCUGGAACCCAGCUGAUUUUGGCAACAUCACCUCCCUCCGGGUCCCUUCAGAGAUGAUCUGGAUCCCUGACAUUGUCCUUUACAACAAGUAGGAAGACAUGGAGCCCUGGGCAGACCCUUAGGAGGGGCGGUAAAGGGGACUUGGAGGGCUUCGUCGUUUCCGUCUCAGUGCUUAGCAGAGAACCUCCUCCUCUGUAUUCUUUUAUUCCUUUCAUCCUGUUCUCUCCCUCCUACACACCAACGUUUACUGGGCACUGAAGAUGUAUUCAUUUGUAGCACGGUGACAGUGGGACAGAUUUGCCAACUCUGAGUAUCCUUUGGAAAAUGUGGUUCAGGCUCUCUAAAAAUGCCUAGGAGUUGAAAUUUUAAAGGAUGGCAAUACUGUCUGACCAGGUAAGUUGGCAUCCUGUAGUAGCACCUUUGAAGAACAAACUCACUGGGUAUGUUUUUUCUUUAAUCAUGUUAUCUUAUACUUGCCUUGGAUUCAAGACCCAAAGGAUCAACCUCACCCUAACAACUAGAAGCUAACAGAAGCUGGAGGGCGGGGGGGAGUCCACAGAGAAUCCCAGUGGGCAAAAAUCAAUGAAUUAAUAUACGUUUUCAUAGGAGAAAUAGAAAUCUAUAUUUUUAUUAGUAUGUUUGGUAUCAGGCAAUUCUUCAUUGAGAAGUUAAAAAGUUCACAUUUAAAAGAAGGUGUUAUGAUUGUCUAAAACCAUUUUCUAAAACAGGUUGCUGCUUCCUUGAGAUAUGAAUAGCAAUGACAAGGUUCUGUGGUCACGGUUUUGGAUCACACUGUAUGUCUGUCACCCCCUGCCAAGGGCUUUGGAAGCCAGCAGAGCACAAUAGCGUUUUAAAUGCUGUUUUAAGUCCUGCAGCAAAGAAACCAGCUUACCCAGCACUUCCCAAUCCCUCGGACCCUACCUUGGAAAUGAUAUUUUUAAACAAUAAAACAUAGAGAGAGGGUCC